UAGAGGAAGUAAAAGUCGUAACAAGGUUUGCGUAUGUGAACCUGCGGAAGGAUCAUUA
This 58-nucleotide ribosomal RNA is filed under the name uncultured fungus. RNAcentral's name for it is "partial 18S ribosomal RNA". It matches the Rfam family "Eukaryotic small subunit ribosomal RNA", at positions 1774 to 1831 of the family's 1831-position model. The record is from RNAcentral. Lineage: Eukaryota; Fungi.